AGCAGGCGCGCAAAUUACCCAAUCCCGACACGGGGAGGUAGUGACAAUAAAUAACAAUACGGGGUUCUUUAGGAUCUCGUAAUUGGAAUGAGUACAAUUUAAAUCUCUUAACGAGGAACAAUUGGAGGGCAAGUCUGGUGCCAGCAGCCGCGGUAAUUCCAGCUCCAAUAGCGUAUAUUAAGUUGUUGCAGUUAAAAAGCUCGUAGUUGAAUUUCGGGGUUAGUAGGUUGGUCAUGCCUCUGGUAUGUACUGGUCUCACUGAUUCCUCCUUCCUGAUGAACCGUAAUGCCAUUAAUUUGGUGUUGCGGGGAAUUUGGACUGUUACUUUGAAAAAAUUAGAGUGUUUAAAGCAAGCUAACGCUUGAAUACAUUAGCAUGGAAUAAUGAAAUAGGACGUUCGAUCCUAUUUUGUUGGUUUCUAGGAUUGACGUAAUGAUUAAUAGGGAUAGUUGGGGGCAUUAGUAUUCAAUUGUCAGAGGUGAAAUUCUUGGAUUUAUUGAAGACUAACUACUGCGAAAGCAUUUGCCAAGGAUGUUUUCAUUAAUCAAGAACGAAAGUUAGGGGAUCGAAGACGAUCAGAUACCGUCGUAGUCUUAACCAUAAACUAUGCCGACUAGGGAUCGGAUGAUGUUAAUUUUUUAAUGACUCAUUCGGCGCCUUACGGGAAACCAAAGUGUUUGGGUU
Molecule: ribosomal RNA, 684 nt
Filed under: uncultured Glomeromycotina
Lineage: Eukaryota; Fungi; Glomeromycota
Description: SSU rRNA
Rfam family: Eukaryotic small subunit ribosomal RNA
Source: RNAcentral